RNAcentral lists this long non-coding RNA (1068 nucleotides) under Vombatus ursinus (common wombat). RNAcentral describes it as "lncRNA (ENSVURG00010012274.1)". The record is from RNAcentral. Lineage: Eukaryota; Metazoa; Chordata; Mammalia; Diprotodontia; Vombatidae.
GGGAAGCCCUAUAGGGGCGCGGCACCGGUUUUGAAAGCGAGGCUGCUGGGACGACGACGACUCGUGCAGCAAAGGUGCUCCCGACCACGAGUUCUUCGAGUUCUUCGAGUUCUUCUGCUUCCCGGACGGACGCAGCGAGAGACCGGCGAGUUGCCAUGUCUCCCAGCAACACCCUUGGGUACAGAGCUAGCUUUGCCGAAGAGGCAAAGGUCAUUUCGGAGCAGCUGCAAGGUCAGGGGGGAGCAGAUAUAUCUACCAUAGAAGCCGAGCUCCCACCUCCCGACUUGAGUUCCUCCGCCUCUUUUCUGGACCUACCAAGCAGUGACGAGGCCCAGGGCUCCCAUUGGGACCUCCACCCCAUAUGGAGCUCCAGAAGGGCUGAGGCUGCUUGAAGGGGCAUCUUUUUUCUCCUUCCCAGAGAUCCCCCAAGCUCAGGAAGCACCCGGUGUGGCUGAGGCGGCCCAGCCCAGUGCCAGACGCCCCCAGAGGCCUCGAGUAGCCACAGGCAGCCCGCCUAAGGCCACCCCAAAAAGUGGCCCUCUGGGGAAGCUGGGCCAGGAGAACCGAUCCCUGGCUGGGGCCUCUUUAGCUGUUUCCAGGAGGGGGCAUCAGGCCCUUCCUCUGCCUGGGCAGAAAAGAUGGUCACCUGUCCCCUUCAAAACUUCCCACUUGCCUGUCCUGUGCAAGUCCAGAAGGGAACCCUUGGCAUCUCCAGGAGCUAGGCAGCAGAAAGGCAGGAUCUGUGAGGCGGGCAGGAUGAAGGAAGCAGAACCACCUGCCAAGGCAGGGAAUAAUCCACCCUCGGCAGUCAAGGUGUCUCAAGUGAGUAGCUGCCCUCUCCUGUGUCUGGCACUGCCGUGAUGCACUUACUUCCUAGGCAUUUGUGUCCUUGAGGGGGAAGGUCAGCCUGUUACACUGGGAGAGGAGAUGCUUGUCAAUUGACUGACAAGGUAGAAGCUGAAGAAGGAAGGGAGGCUGGCCACUGAGAGGUGCCCAUGCACCACAUGCACAGUGCCUGGUUUGUGUCAGUGCUUAUUCCCCAAGCCAGGAACUCCAGGUUCAUCGGGA